Non-coding RNA from Vibrio tubiashii ATCC 19109, 137 nucleotides. Lineage: Bacteria; Pseudomonadati; Pseudomonadota; Gammaproteobacteria; Vibrionales; Vibrionaceae. The record is from Rfam.
UCAUCACCAUCAUCACCCAGUUUAGUCUUUCGGGAGAUGCACGCAUACCCGGGAGACAGGAAACUCCCGGAGGCUAAAAUCGCAAACUACAAGAUUUAGAACCCUCGGGAGAACAACUCUUCCGAGGGUUUUUCAGU